RNAcentral lists this small RNA (778 nucleotides) under Pan troglodytes (chimpanzee). RNAcentral describes it as "retained intron". Lineage: Eukaryota; Metazoa; Chordata; Mammalia; Primates; Hominidae. The record is from RNAcentral.
AUCAUCUCUUAAAGCUUCACUUCAACUUCACUAUUUCUGUAGUCUCAUCUUGAGUAAAAGAGAACCCAGACAACUAUGAAGUUCCUUGUCUUUGCCUUCAUCUUGGCUCUCAUGGUUUCCAUGAUUGUAAGUAUAUCAGGACAUUUGAAGAAUAUGUUCUCAGUACCUAUCCCAAGAGUCUCUCUAUUCCUUGUGUUCUGGCAUAUAUUGGUGUUUACUUGAAUACAGCUUUAUAUGUUUAAAUGUUUCCAUAUGAACUUUUUUUUGUACUAACCUACAUAAGUUAUAUAAGGAUUUAGAAUAAAUAGUCAUUAUUCAUCUACAGACACUAAAGUAUAUUUAGCUUAGUGUGAAAUAAAAGAUUUACUGAACUUCUUAAAUAUGUGGAACUGAGAGCUUGUAAAAGUAUCUUUAAACAUGUGAUGCUCUAGACAAUCUGAAGUUAGAAAUCUCAGGAAUGAACUAGGUGCACUUGAGUGGAAUUCAAGUAUUAGAAGAUGUCAAAGUAGAAAUUUUCAAGUCGUUCCUUGCAAAAACUAACUUAAAAUUAGUAUACAAUUAUUUAGCACACACUUUCUAAAAUAAAGCUGCUUAUUUUUAACUAUAAAACAAAACUUCAGAUCUAUGACAUGUUAUGAGUUCCCAGCUUGUAUUGUCAUUUACUACUGUGUAUCACUAGGUAAAGCACUUGACUUCUCUGGAGCUCUUUCUUCUACUCUACUUCCUUCUCUUUCUCCUGUCCCUUUUCUAUGACAUUAGUAGGAAACUGGCCAUGAAA